This 64-nucleotide transfer RNA is filed under the name Sciara ruficauda. RNAcentral describes it as "tRNA-Cys". Lineage: Eukaryota; Metazoa; Arthropoda; Insecta; Diptera; Sciaridae. The record is from RNAcentral.
AGUUUUAUAGUCAAUAAAUGAUAUUAAAUUGCAAAUUUAAAGUAAUAAUUAUUUAUUAAAGCUU